Molecule: ribosomal RNA, 1284 nt
Filed under: Triticum aestivum (bread wheat)
Lineage: Eukaryota; Viridiplantae; Streptophyta; Magnoliopsida; Poales; Poaceae
Description: partial small subunit ribosomal RNA
Source: RNAcentral
AUGGACCCUUCCAUCCCUUUUUCCCGUGCAUAUGCAUCGGACUCGGAUGACGAUGGUCCCGAUGAACAAGUUGAUGCGGAGGGGUUCACGGUGAAGGAGGGCGAAGCUUUCGAGAAGGUAUUUGGUCGGGAUCAUCAGACUACAUUGUUCAAGGAUGUUAGUCUCGCGGAUGAAGCCGUGUUAGAUGGUGGCCAAUGUGUACCUCUUGGGGUUAGGCCAAGCUCUUAUUGUGAUUUGGGAGAUGACAAGAACCGCAUUGCUAAAGGUUCUAAGUUCGACACCUUCUUGGAAUUGAAGAUGUGGCUCGACAACUACUCGGUUAUGCAUUAUCGUCCACAUAAGGUGGUGCACUCGGACGUCAAAGUGCGCUACACGGUUGCAUGUGCAUGUGAAGAUGAAAUAUGUCCAUGGAUUGUGCGUGCAAGACCAUGGAAAGGAGGUCCCACUUGGCACGUAGUGAGUUGUGUGCCAACUCACAUGUGCCAAGGCAAAAGGGUGGAUGGCAAGAUUGUGUCCCAAAACCACAAACAACUCACGUCCGAGUUCAUCGCUUACAGGCUCUCCAACUCAAUAUCCACACUUCCAACAAUGAGCGUCCAACAUGUCAUUGACCUUGUGAAAGCCAUCUUUCACUACAAGGUGAAGUACAGCAAGGCAUGGAAGGCGAAGCAAGCCGCAUUUAAGAUGUUGUAUGGUACUUGGGAGGAAGCAUACAACCGAAUCCCUAGGUUGUUGUUAGCCAUGGCCGCGACAAACCCGGGCAUGGUUCAUGUGGUCGAGCCUCAUGGGCACCAAACAACGGUUCAUGAAGGAAGGAAAGUCAGAGUAUUUGGCCAUGCUUUUUGGGCGUUCGAGCAAUGUGUGAGGGCUUUCGAACAUUGUAGGCCGGUCAUCGCAAUUGAUGGCACGUUCUUGACCGGACAAUACAAGGGCACCUUGUUGGUUGCGAUAGCAAGUGAUGCCAAUAACCGGGUGUUGCCAUUGGCAUUUGCUUUGGUUGAGGUGGAAAACAAUGUCAACUGGGAGUGGUUUCUGCAUCUUUUGAGGAUGAAGUCCUGUCUCCCUAACAUACGGCGUGUACCGCUCAUCAUAGCGCAUCCACCCAAGGUUGACCCCGUGAGCCCGAAGCUUCAGAGGUGCAAGCUCCUACAAGCAAACAAACAAAUCAUUACAUAUGGGGGCAUGUGUUUGGAAAAAAACAUGAAAUUCAUAACACCGACAACUUUCAUUAUUACCUGCUGCUUCACCAACAUAACGUACGACCGGUGUUGUAGAUCCCAAUGA